RNAcentral lists this ribosomal RNA (497 nucleotides) under Eimeria wyomingensis. RNAcentral describes it as "SSU rRNA". It matches the Rfam family "Eukaryotic small subunit ribosomal RNA", at positions 581 to 1083 of the family's 1831-position model. The record is from RNAcentral. Lineage: Eukaryota; Apicomplexa; Conoidasida; Eucoccidiorida; Eimeriidae.
AAUUCCAGCUCCAAUAGUGUAUAUUAGAGUUGUUGCAGUUAAAAAGCUCGUAGUUGGAUUUCUGCUGUGGUCAUCCGGUACCGCCCGUACGGGUGCGCACCUGGUUUGGCUGCGGCUUUAUUCCUGUAGCCAUCCGCGCUUAAUUGCGUGUGUUGUGUUGCGGAACUUUUACUUUGAGAAAAAUAGAGUGUUUCAAGCAGGCUUGUCGCCCUGAAUACUUCAGCAUGGAAUAAUAGGAUAGGACCUUGGUUCUAUUUUGUUGGUUUCUAGGACCAAGGUAAUGAUUAAUAGGGACAGUUGGGGGCAUUCGUAUUUAACUGUCAGAGGUGAAAUUCUUAGAUUUGUUAAAGACGAACUACUGCGAAAGCAUUUGCCAAGGAUGUUUUCAUUAAUCAAGAACGACAGUAGGGGGUUUGAAGACGAUUAGAUACCGUCGUAAUCUCUACCAUAAACUAUGCCGACUAGAGAUAGGGAAAUGCCUACCUUGGCUUCUCCUG